This is a long non-coding RNA of Micropterus salmoides (largemouth bass), 943 nucleotides long. RefSeq lists it as uncharacterized. The transcript has 3 exons. NCBI's taxonomy places the organism in Eukaryota, Metazoa, Chordata, Actinopteri, Centrarchiformes, Centrarchidae. The record is from RefSeq and is a predicted model, not a curated record.
AUAAAAGCAGAGCGGCAGACCGCAUCAGGGUCACUUCACAGCUCGGUCCUGGUCUCAGCUGGAUCCCUGAGGAAGAUCAACAAGAGACUCUGAGGCUCCACAGCAGGUUCAACACAUCAUGGCAACCCGUCAGUGCACCGUUGAGUUUGUGAAUAAUAGCUCACCCUGAUUAACCCGAAUGUGUUCACUUACAGUGGAUCCUGUGGGCAUCCUCUGCCACCAAUCCUUCGUUAUCUUCAAUCUGGCAGCGCUCUGUUUGUCAAGACACAGCGUGUGGAGCUGUUGGAGUCCUCACUUAUGAUCUGCAGAAUGAAUCUACAAAGAAAUGUGAUGGAAAAAUGGCCGUCAUGUACUCUGUUCCUUAUGACUUCAACCUGUACUCUAACUGGUUUGCAGUGGGAGUCUUUUAUGAGAAGAGAGAGUGUGACGACAGACAUUAUGAAGAGAUGUAUUACAAGGAAGGGAAAGAGUUUAAAAGAGGUAAAGCUAAAGAAUAUCUGACUUACCCAGGUGAAGCUGUUACCAUCAAAGCCACCAUGUCAGACACUUACACACCUGUCAUUAAUAUACAGGUGUCUUCAAGUUCUCACAAGUGUCAUUAAUCCCAGUUGGCUCACUAAGACAGAAAGUCUGGUUCUGUUUCAUCAGGUCACUUUUCAUUCUGUAUGUUAGUUUCUCUUUUUAUAUCUGCUGUCUGCUUAGAUGCUGAACUGUGUUUCUUUGUUCUGCUGCUGACCGUGUGUGAUGACAAUAAAGCUGAAUAAGAUCUUCUAAAUUUCAGUGUGAUAAAACUGAAAACAUUUAGAAACAUGCACAAAGACUGGGCUGAAAAGUAAAAUAGCAAGCAGAAACAGUUGGUUAAAUGUUUCUUUCUGUAACACGAGUGAAGUUCAGACACAAUGCGGCCGUUCUGAUUAACUAAACAGAAACUACUCUAAAUUUA